AUCAGUUCGCGCGAUUUUUCUCUCGUCGUCGAUAUUACCAUUGAUUUUAUAUUAUACUAAAAUCAAUGAUAUUACACUUCCUCCACGGGAUUCCUGUGGUUUUAUUUUGACCAUGGAUUGAUUUUCGUAACGGUAAUCCUCGGUGUUCGAAUCAAAACCAAGGAAAACAAGUGGUCGACGAAUAUAAAAUGUAAAAAUAAACACAUAAGGUUUGCCUGGACUCUCGACGAAACCCAAAACACCAACACCGAAUUACGUUCGUCGUCAACCGUCUCCUAUUAGGCUGCUGUACUUUUUAUCGAUCGUCGUUUAUUCGAGACCGAUUGUUUCGCUGGUAUUACUCGGAAACACGUACACGAGUCGACUUUUGAAAAAUCAUAUUGUUUCGGCACCACUGAAAGCUGUGCUCACGUCGUGACAUAUUUGUACAAUCAUUCCGUUUGGUCGCGUGACGGCCGAUGUUUUUCGUGGUCGAAACUCGAGUGACCGUUCAAUCGUAUUUAAGACGUAUUUGUUCGUAAUUUGCGAUGGUGAACAAUAUUUACAUGGAAUAUGGCAGUGCUGUGUCCCGAUGACAUUAAAACAUACCGUAUGUAAUUGUUACUAUAAUUCCAUAUACUUAUGAGAAUUGGCUUAAUUAGACCUUAAAGUCAGGGAUUUCCAGUCCUAUCAUUUUUAUAGUAAUGGGAAAUUAAGUAUGUGUUCUACCACCCCCCCCCUAUACUCGUUAUUCGUUAUCACCAUUUUAUACAUCAAUGCUACAAAAACAGAAUCUGUACAUUGAUUCU
Sipha flava (yellow sugarcane aphid) is the source of this 788-nucleotide long non-coding RNA. RefSeq lists it as uncharacterized. The transcript has 3 exons. The record is from RefSeq and is a predicted model, not a curated record. NCBI's taxonomy places the organism in Eukaryota, Metazoa, Arthropoda, Insecta, Hemiptera, Aphididae.